Molecule: ribosomal RNA, 407 nt
Filed under: uncultured bacterium
Lineage: Bacteria
Description: partial 16S ribosomal RNA
Rfam family: Bacterial small subunit ribosomal RNA
Source: RNAcentral
AUUGAACGCUAGCGGGAUGCCUUACACAUGCAAGUCGAACGGAGUGGCGAACGGGUGAGUAAUGUAUCGGAACGUGCCCAGUAGCGGGGGAUACCUCCGCGAAAGCGUAGCUAAUACCGCAUACUAUUGGAGCGGCCUAUAUCGGAUUGGCUGGUUGGUGGGGUAACGGCUCACCAAGGCGACGAUCCGUAGCUGGUUUGAGAGGACGACCAGACACACGGGGACUGAGAAACGGCCCAGAAUCCUAGGGGAGGCAGCAGUGGGGAAUUUUGGACAAGGGGGGAAACCCUGAUCCAGCCAUCCCGCGUGUGCGAUGAAGGCUUUCGGGUUGUAAAGCACUUUUGGCAGGAAAGCGGUACCUGCAGAAUAAGCACCGGCUAACUACGUGCCAGCAGCCGCGGUAAUUC